This 93-nucleotide non-coding RNA is filed under the name human gut metagenome. The record is from RNAcentral.
ACCGCGGGGAGCUUGUGUGCAGGCUGAGAGGAAGUAAUCAACUUCGACCCUUAUACCUGAUUUGGAUAAUGCCAACGUAGGGAAUGUGCAGAA